AGAUUGAACGCUGGCGGCAUGCCUUACACAUGCAAGUCGAACGGCAGCACGGGAGCAAUCCUGGUGGCGAGUGGCGAACGGGUGAGUAAUACAUCGGAACGUGCCCAAUCGUGGGGGAUAACGCAGCGAAAGCUGUGCUAAUACCGCAUAAGAUCUACGGAUGAAAGCAGGGGAUCGCAAGACCUUGCGCGAAUGGAGCGGCCGAUGGCAGAUUAGGUAGUUGGUGAGGUAAAGGCUCACCAAGCCUUCGAUCUGUAGCUGGUCUGAGAGGACGACCAGCCACACUGGGACUGAGACACGGCCCAGACUCCUACGGGAGGCAGCAGUGGGGAAUUUUGGACAAUGGGCGAAAGCCUGAUCCAGCCAUGCCGCGUGCAGGAUGAAGGCCUCGGUGUAACUGCUUUGUACGAACGAAAGUACUACUUUCUAAUAAAGAGGAGUCAUGACGUACUGUAAGAAUAAGACACGGCUAACUAACG
Molecule: ribosomal RNA, 479 nt
Filed under: uncultured soil bacterium
Lineage: Bacteria
Description: bacterial SSU rRNA
Rfam family: Bacterial small subunit ribosomal RNA
Source: RNAcentral